This 948-nucleotide long non-coding RNA is filed under the name Anser brachyrhynchus (Pink-footed goose). Its description in RNAcentral is "lncRNA (ENSABRG00000009213.1)". Lineage: Eukaryota; Metazoa; Chordata; Aves; Anseriformes; Anatidae. The record is from RNAcentral.
AAAAAAAAAAGACAGACAGAUGGAGAAUGAAAGGAAACGUGCAUAAGCAUUUGAAAUAUAUGUAGUGGGCCAGAAUAAAACAGAUGAUAGAAACCCUUGCUCACUUUUAAAGAGAAUUAAAUGUAUUUGCUUGUGGUGCAUUUGGAAUAAGGGGUUACUGAAAGGGAUGAUGGGGCCUGUGAGAAAAAGUGAAGGCAUUUAUUGAGGGUGUUGCUGAAAGCUUUAUCUUUGCCUCCAUUUUCAGGAAGGAAUAGAGGACAGAUGGCAGAAAUUUCCCAAGGGAGAAAAGCGAAUUACUAGAGAAGAUCGGGAUCACCUGAACAGGUGAUCAUGAAAUCGAAAUGCCUGAAAACUCAAUUUCUCAAGGUCGAUAUAACCCAUGCUUAGGUAACCAGCUUUCCUGAAUGCUGAGGCAAAUGGGACAAAAUGAGAUAACAAGGAGGUGCCAGAGGACUGGGAUAAAGAUGCUUUUCACUUCAGACAUGACCAUCAGACUCCAGCUGUACAGAGGAAUGCAGUUCUGUUCCAGUCCCAGUCUAACAACCAGUGCCCAUCGACAUGGUAACAUCCGUUCUUCAUAUGGUACGUGUGUACGCGAUGGGCAUGCACAGAGGGUCACCACCAGCCCAGCCCUGUCUGCAGCGACCUGAUGAUCUUUGUGUGUUUGAGUGCAUGUCAAAUGGGGCCUGUGGGUGUUUGGAAAGGCCAGCUAUCAAACAGUUUCCUAUUAUCAUACACCCUGGGAAGAAGUUCUCAUUUCAUACCCCUGCUCCAGAGAGGUUCACCCUUCAGGACAAUAGGGUGGCCUCAGGAGAAGGACCUCAGUUGGACACAGUGAAAUGCUGCAUUUGCAAUAGCCAUGGAGCCCCUUGUUGGAACAGAUAUAAGAAUCAGUCAUGUCUUUGUCUUGGAGCUCGGCACCUCUUCUGGAGGAGUCCCCUGAUGUGA